This 402-nucleotide ribosomal RNA is filed under the name uncultured bacterium. Its description in RNAcentral is "bacterial SSU rRNA". It matches the Rfam family "Bacterial small subunit ribosomal RNA", at positions 358 to 774 of the family's 1533-position model. The record is from RNAcentral.
GGGAUAUUGGACAAUGGGGGGAACCCUGAUCCAGCGACGCCGCGUGAGUGAAGAAGUAUUUCGGUAUGUAAAGCUCUGUCAGCAGGGAAGAAAGCAAUGACGGUACCUGACCAAGAAGCCCCGGCUAACUACGUGCCAGCAGCCGCGGUAAUACGUAGGGGGCAAGCGUUAUCCGGAUUUACUGGGUGUAAAGGGAGCGUAGACGGCUGUGCAAGUCUGAAGUGAAAGCCCGUGGCUCAACCGCGGAACUGCUUUGGAAACUGUAUAGCUUGAGUACUGGAGAGGCAGGCGGAAUUCCUAGUGUAGCGGUGAAAUGCGUAGAUAUUAGGAGGAACACCAGUGGCGAAGGCGGCCUGCUGGACAGAAACUGACGUUGAGGCUCGAAAGCGUGGGGAGCAAACA